Thunnus maccoyii (southern bluefin tuna) is the source of this 1242-nucleotide long non-coding RNA. RefSeq lists it as uncharacterized. NCBI's taxonomy places the organism in Eukaryota, Metazoa, Chordata, Actinopteri, Scombriformes, Scombridae. The transcript is spliced from 4 exons. The record is from RefSeq and is a predicted model, not a curated record.
UGUGUGUGUGUGUGACAGAGAUAUGGUUUUGUUUUCAACGUGAGCUACUCAAUAAAAAGAGGAAGACUGAAAGUUUUGGUAAGAAGAUGGAAGAAGUUUUGAUGGCAUAUGAGGAACAGGAUGAGAACAUCAGUGCAGCUAGAACAGCAGCCCUGGCCGGCCCACCGCUGUAUUUAAAGGAGGAUUCAUCAGAGGAUGAUUUGGAGGCAACCUAGGAGGGAGCAGUGGCUCUGGUGGCAGUGGUCAGUGAAGAGGAGGUGCCAGCAGGAGUCCCUUCGAAACUCACCACGUGUCAGUCGUCCUUGAGGAUCAGGUUGUAAUGUCUCACAGAUCUUGAACAGAUUCACUGGUGAUUUUGUUGGACUGAUCUAUGCUCUCCAUAUGAGAGCUAUCCUGAGAAGCUAAGUGGCCUCUUUGAGUUCAUCCAUGUUGUCCUUCUCUAAUCCUCAUGAUGGGAGAAAGCAGCUCAAACCCAAGUUACAGGCCCUGAGAAAUGAGCUUGAAUUAAGUUGUCAGCAGGUUUUGUUGUUGAAAGUCAGCAAUGUCUAAAAAUUAUUGUUUGGCUUGCAUUCCAAAAACUGUUUUAGUUCUGAUUUUUGUGUGUUAAAACAGGUACUGUGCAAGUAAAGUGAUUUAAUAGUUUUUACUACAAUGCAUGUUUGCAUUGUUUCUGUGGCGUCUUCACACUUUCUGCAUUACCACAUGAAAAAAGCAUUUAUUUGUACAUUGUGCAUUUGUACAUGUACAUUAACAUUUAUACAUUUAUAAUUAUAUUUUGUUUUGUUUAUUUUUUAUGUGUCUUUAUUUUCAUAGUUUUCACAACAUAAAAAUGUCGGGAAAACUGAGAUUUUAUUAAUUAGCUUCAUGGUAUAAAAUUAUGGACAUUGUUACUCCAGUGCACAAGGUAUCAAAAUAUCAAAUUGAACAAAAUUUUCUGAGUCAGGUUAAGGAGUGAAAACUGUCUUAUGCACAAUCAUUGUUUUAUGUCAAUUUGAUUGACUUACAUCAGAAGCUGCAAAUACUGUUAAUGUGAGGGUGAAGUCUACUGAACUUUUAAGUUUCAACUUUGAAGGGGUGUUUUUUCUAAAAAACUUCAUUAAUAGGUUGAAGAGAAAAAAGUAAGUGGAGAGGAGUAAACUACAUUUCAAGAACUGUGAACAUUGAAAUGUUUUAAAUUGAAAUGUUAUGUGUUCAGUUAUGAGUGUUCAGCACUCAACUAAAUAAAUUGUUUAAGUUGUGUCA